RNAcentral lists this unclassified non-coding RNA (329 nucleotides) under soil metagenome. RNAcentral's name for it is "partial contains 5.8S ribosomal RNA, internal transcribed spacer 2, and large subunit ribosomal RNA". The stretch from base 1 to 120 matches the Rfam family "5.8S ribosomal RNA", at positions 35 to 154 of the family's 154-position model. The record is from RNAcentral.
GAUGAAGAACGUAGCGAAAUGCGAUACGUAAUGUGAAUUGCAGAUUUCAGUGAAUCAUCGAAUCUUUGAACGCACAUUGCGCCCGCCAGUAUUCUGGCGGGCAUGCCUGUUCGAGCGUCAUUUCAACCAUCAAGCCUUCGCUUGUGUUGGGGCCCCGCGGCUGCCGCGGUCCCCUAAAUCCAGUGGCGGGCUCGUCGUCGUACCGAGCGCAGUAGACAUCCUCGCUCCGGGAACCCGACGGGUGCCGGCCGUGAAACCCCCCACAUCAAGGUUAACCUCGGAUCAGGUAGGAAUACCCGCUGAACUUAAGCAUAUCAAUAAGCGGAGGA